Molecule: ribosomal RNA, 599 nt
Filed under: Pseudomonas endophytica
Lineage: Bacteria; Pseudomonadati; Pseudomonadota; Gammaproteobacteria; Pseudomonadales; Pseudomonadaceae
Description: bacterial SSU rRNA
Rfam family: Bacterial small subunit ribosomal RNA
Source: RNAcentral
GCUUCUCUUGAGAGCGGCGGACGGGUGAGUAAUACCUAGGAAUCUGCCUGGUAGUGGGGGAUAACGUUCGGAAACGGACGCUAAUACCGCAUACGUCCUACGGGAGAAAGCAGGGGACCUUCGGGCCUUGCGCUAUCAGAUGAGCCUAGGUCGGAUUAGCUAGUUGGUGAGGUAAUGGCUCACCAAGGCUACGAUCCGUAACUGGUCUGAGAGGAUGAUCAGUCACACUGGAACUGAGACACGGUCCAGACUCCUACGGGAGGCAGCAGUGGGGAAUAUUGGACAAUGGGCGAAAGCCUGAUCCAGCCAUGCCGCGUGUGUGAAGAAGGUCUUCGGAUUGUAAAGCACUUUAAGUUGGGAGGAAGGGUGUUAACCUAAUACGUUAGUACUUUGACGUUACCGACAGAAUAAGCACCGGCUAACUCUGUGCCAGCAGCCGCGGUAAUACAGAGGGUGCAAGCGUUAAUCGGAAUUACUGGGCGUAAAGCGCGCGUAGGUGGUUUGUUAAGUUGAAUGUGAAAUCCCCGGGCUCAACCUGGGAACUGCAUCCAAAACUGGCAAGCUAGAGUAUGGUAGAGGGUAGUGGAAUUUCCUGUGUA